This is a long non-coding RNA of Cotesia glomerata, 575 nucleotides long. RefSeq lists it as uncharacterized. The transcript has 2 exons. Lineage: Eukaryota; Metazoa; Arthropoda; Insecta; Hymenoptera; Braconidae. The record is from RefSeq and is a predicted model, not a curated record.
AUAAACCUAUCAGAGGUUAGAGUGCUGUUAAAAUUAUACGGUCCCAGCUUGUUCAAGUUCUGGGUACCACUUUGAAAAUUGGGAGGUAUAGUUGAACGCUAAAAUUUAAUAUAAAAAUUAUAGUUUAUGUCUUUGCAAAAAAUGUGUAUUAUUUAGAAAAGACUAUUCCAUUGGGUGGUACAAUUUUUUUCACUUAAAAUAAUGAUAUACCGUUUUUUUUUUUACUGAUUGUUCGGUUUACGGUUUAGUACCUUUUUCAUGAAAAAAAUAGCAUCUAUCGGCGAUUCUUGACAUGUUGACUUUAAAGUUAACAAAAAUGUAAUUGUUUUGAUUUAUAAUUGAAAAAACUUACCAAAAUCAAUUACUGUAUCAUUGAAUAAUUAUAACAUGCGCAUAUGACUCAUAAUAUAUAUGGAUUUUGUAUUACAACAAUUCUAAAAGUCUGUUCAACUACUAGUCCCAUUUUUAGAAGUGUUCAAGUACUGGGUACUUUACCUUACACCUUUCUCGGUUUUUACAAGGCUGAUCUCCCUCUUUCUCCUAGCAUUUACGCUUUACUUGCUCUUCUUCAUAUU